RNAcentral lists this ribosomal RNA (446 nucleotides) under uncultured bacterium. RNAcentral describes it as "partial 16S ribosomal RNA". It matches the Rfam family "Bacterial small subunit ribosomal RNA", at positions 338 to 795 of the family's 1533-position model. The record is from RNAcentral.
CCUACGGGUGGCUGCAGUCGAGAAUCAUUCACAAUGGGGGAAACUCUGAUGGUGCGACGCCGCGUGGGGGAAUGAAGUUCUUCGGAUUGUAAACUCCUGUCAUGUGGGAGAAAAUUAUAACGAUAGUACCACAAUAUGCAUAGACUGCUAACUCUGUGCCAGCAGCCGCGGUACUACAGAGGGCGCAAGCGUUGUUCGGCAGCACUGGGCGUAAAGCGUGCGUAGGCUGUUUAGUAAGUCGUGUGUGAAAGGCGCGGGCUCAACCCGCGGACGGCACAUGAUACUGCGAGACUAGAGUAAUGGAGGGGUAAGCGGAAUUCGCGGUGUAGCAGUGAAAUGCGUAGAUAUCGAGAGGAACACUCGUGGCGAAGGCGGGUUCCUGGACAGUAACUGACGCUGAGGCACGAAAGCCAGGGGAGCGAAAGGGAUUAGAUACCCCAGUAGUC